RNAcentral lists this unclassified non-coding RNA (18 nucleotides) under Dictyostelium discoideum. Lineage: Eukaryota; Evosea; Eumycetozoa; Dictyosteliales; Dictyosteliaceae. The record is from RNAcentral.
ACCAUUAAUUUCAAUUCU